AUUGAACGCUGGCGGCAUGCUUUACACAUGCAAGUCGAGCGGCAGCGCGGGGGGCAACCCUGGCGGCGAGCGGCGAACGGGUGAGGAAUACAUCGGAACGUACCCCGGAGUGGGGGGAUAACGCCGCGAAAGCGGCGCUAAUACCGCAUAUGCUCUGAGGAGGAAAGUGGGGGACCUGCAAGGGCCUCACGCUCUGGGAGCGGCCGAUGUCCGAUUAGCUAGUUGGUGGGGUAAAGGCCCACCAAGGCGACGAUCGGUAGCUGGUCUGAGAGGAUGAUCAGCCACACUGGGACUGAGACACGGCCCAGACUCCUACGGAGGCAGCAGUGGGGGAAUUUUGGGACAAUGGGGGGCAACCCUGAUCCAGCCAUGCCGCGUGCGGGAAGAAGG
RNAcentral lists this ribosomal RNA (390 nucleotides) under uncultured bacterium. Its description in RNAcentral is "partial 16S ribosomal RNA". It matches the Rfam family "Bacterial small subunit ribosomal RNA", at positions 28 to 414 of the family's 1533-position model. The record is from RNAcentral.